This 357-nucleotide ribosomal RNA is filed under the name uncultured bacterium. Its description in RNAcentral is "bacterial SSU rRNA". It matches the Rfam family "Bacterial small subunit ribosomal RNA", at positions 9 to 354 of the family's 1533-position model. The record is from RNAcentral.
GAGUUUGAUCCUGGCUCAGGACGAACGCUGGCGGCAUGCCUAAUACAUGCAAGUCGAACGCUGAAGCACUCUGCUUGCAGAGUGUGGAUGAGUGGCGAACGGGUGAGUAACACGUGGGGAACCUACCCAUGAGAGGGGGAUAACAUCCGGAAACGGAUGCUAAUACCGCAUAGGUGUCAGAAACGCAUGUUUCAGACAUUAAAGAUGGCUUUUGCUAUCGCUCAUGGAUGGCCCCGCGGCGUAUUAGCUAGUUGGUGAGGUAAUGGCUCACCAAGGCAGUGAUACGUAGCCGACCUGAGAGGGUGAUCGGCCACACUGGGACUGAGACACGGCCCAGACUCCUACGGGGCGCAGCAA